This 406-nucleotide ribosomal RNA is filed under the name uncultured bacterium. RNAcentral's name for it is "partial 16S ribosomal RNA". It matches the Rfam family "Bacterial small subunit ribosomal RNA", at positions 29 to 526 of the family's 1533-position model. The record is from RNAcentral.
AUUGAACGCUGGCGGCAGGCCUAACACAUGCAAGUCGAGCGAGCGGCGGACGGGUGAGCAAUGUAUGGGGAUCUGCCCGAGAGAGGGGGAUAACUACUGGAAACGGUGGCUAAUACCGCAUACUAUCGGAUGAACCCAUAUGGGAUUAGCUAGUAGGGGGGGUAAAGGCUGACCUAGGCGACGAUCUCUACCUGGUCUGAGAGGAUGAUCAGCCACACUGGAACUGAGACAGGGCCCAGACUCCGACGGGAGGCAGCAGUGGGGAAUAUUGCACAAUGGGCGAAAGCCUGAUGCAGCCAUGCCGCGUGUAUGAAGAAGGCCUUAGGGUUGUAAAGCACUUUCAGCGGUGAGGCGUUACCCGCAGAAGAAGCACCGGCUAACUCCGUGCCAGCAGCCGCGGUAAUAC